Myodes glareolus (Bank vole) is the source of this 946-nucleotide non-coding RNA. The record is from RefSeq and is a predicted model, not a curated record. Lineage: Eukaryota; Metazoa; Chordata; Mammalia; Rodentia; Cricetidae.
CAUGGCUUUCCUGAAGGAUGGAAACCACACUGAAGUGACAGAGUUCAUUUUAUUGGGCCUGACAGACGACCCAGUCCUUAGAGUUGUCCUCUUCACCAUUAUCCUGUGCAUCUACCUGGUGACCGUGUCUGGGAACCUCAGCACCAUCCUUCUCAUCAGAGUCUCUUCCCAGCUCCAUCACCCUAUGUACUUUUUUCUCAGCCACUUGGCCUCUGCUGACAUAGGCUACUCAUCUUCUGUCACACCCAAUAUGCUUGUCGGCUUCCUGGUAAGGAGAAGUACCAUUACCUACUAUGGAUGUGCCAUUCAACUUGGCUCAGGUGCUUUCUUUGGAACAGUUGAGUGCUUUGUUCUGGCUGCGAUGGCUUAUGAUCGCUUUGUAGCAAUUUGUAGCCCACUGCUUUAUUCCAUGAAGAUGUCCACACACGUCUGUGUCCAGUUGCUUAUAGUAGCAUACAUAAGUGGUUUUCUUAAUGCCUCCUCCUUUACCAUUUCCUUUUUUACUUUUUUCUUCUGUGGACCAAACAGAAUCAAUCACUUUUUCUGUGAUUUUACUCCUUUAGUUGAACUCUCCUGUUCUGAUGACAGUGUCUCCAUUGUUCUUGCCACUAUUUCUGUUGGCACUGUGAUUGUGAUCACAGUCCUUGUCAUAUCUGUCUCCUACACCUACAUCCUCAUCACCAUCCUGAAGAUGCGCUCCACUGAGGGCCGUCAGAAGGCCUUCUCCACCUGCACCUCCCACCUCACUGCAGUCACUCUGUUCUAAGGCACAGUCACAUUCAUCUAUGUGAUGCCUAAGUCCAACUACUCCACAGACCAGAACAAGGUAUUGUCUGUAUUCUACAUGGUGGUGAUCCCCAUGUUGAAUCCGCUCAUUUACAGCCUCAGGAAUAAUGAGAUCAAAGGUGCUCUAAAGAGACAAUUUGGUAGGAAAAUAUUUUCUUAG